AAAUAAGGAAAAUAUGUCUGUCUGAAGCAAUCAAAACAGGAGAGAUGGUAAGAAAUAGUCUUCAAAAAGGUCCAGUGUCAAUACAAUAUGAAGAUGUGGCAUUUGAGAGGGUUUUCUUUUAAAAUGGAGGAACACCAUGAAGAAUGGAACAGAAGAACAGGAUCAAAGCCUGGAGAGUUGCCAGUUCCUUGCUGUAGGAUUGUAAUAGAACAGGCCAAGGAAGGUGACAACUUCAAGGCAUCGUUAAAAAGAGUCAAGAUGGUCAUGUGGGUAAGAUGUGGACUGGGAGCUGGCACCACCCCCAGCCCCGGCCUGACCCGACCCCAAGCCAACCCCUUCCCCAAAGUCCCUGUCCCAACUCCACUCCCUCCCUGCUCCUAAUGGACUCCUUCCCCAAAUCCCCGGUCCUUCCCCAAGCACACCACAUUCC
This 430-nucleotide long non-coding RNA is filed under the name Gopherus agassizii (Agassiz's desert tortoise). RNAcentral describes it as "lncRNA (ENSGAGG00000013216.1)". Lineage: Eukaryota; Metazoa; Chordata; Testudines; Testudinidae. The record is from RNAcentral.